Molecule: ribosomal RNA, 467 nt
Filed under: uncultured microorganism
Description: bacterial SSU rRNA
Rfam family: Bacterial small subunit ribosomal RNA
Source: RNAcentral
GAGUUUGAUCAUGGCUCAGAACGAACGCUGGCGGCAUGCCUAACACAUGCAAGUCGAACGAACUCUUCGGAGUUAGUGGCGCACGGGUGCGUAACGCGUGGGAAUCUGCCCUUGGGUACGGAAUAACUCAGAGAAAUUUGUGCUAAUACCGUAUAAUGACUUCGGUCCAAAGAUUUAUCGCCCAAGGAUGAGCCCGCGUAAGAUUAGCUAGUUGGUGGGUAAAGGCCUACCAAGGCUACGAUCUUUAGCUGGUCUGAGAGGAUGAUCAGCCACACUGGGACUGAGACACGGCCCAGACUCCUACGGGAGGCAGCAGUGGGGAAUAUUGGACAAUGGGCGAAAGCCUGAUCCAGCAAUGCCGCGUGAGUGAUGAAGGCCUUAGGGUUGUAAAGCUCUUUUACCCGGGAUGAUAAUGACAGUACCGGAGAAUAAGCUCCGGCUAACUCCGUGCCAGCAGCCGCGGUAAU